GAUUUUCUACCCUUUUUCAAUCUUGAAUUUCUAGAUUGAACUCUUAAAGUUAGAAGUAUCCAUCGAAUUAAUCUCGGCUUCGCCUCUUUCUUGGUAAGUAAACAUUAAAUUGUCGAAUGAUCCGUAUAGACAAUCACUUUGGUACCUACAAAAUAAGGUCGAAACUUGUCAAAAGCAAAAAAAAAAAAUAGCAAGUAACUCUUUCUCUAUUACCAUAUAAUUCAAC
This 226-nucleotide long non-coding RNA is filed under the name Gossypium raimondii (Peruvian cotton). RNAcentral describes it as "long non-coding RNA (GRAI_LNC008130)". The record is from RNAcentral. Lineage: Eukaryota; Viridiplantae; Streptophyta; Magnoliopsida; Malvales; Malvaceae.